Molecule: non-coding RNA, 4616 nt
Organism: Monodelphis domestica (gray short-tailed opossum)
Lineage: Eukaryota; Metazoa; Chordata; Mammalia; Didelphimorphia; Didelphidae
Source: RefSeq, a predicted model, not a curated record
ACACUUUUUCAUAUGCUUAUUAAGAGUUUUGAUUUCUUUAACUGAAAACUGCCUGUUCAUGUCCCUUGCCCAUUUAUCAAUUGUAGAAUGGCUUGAUUUUUUUGUACAAUUGAUUUAGCAAUUUGUAAAUUUGAGUAAUUAAACCUGUCAGAGGUUUUUAUGAAGAUUGUUUCCCAAUUUAUUGCUUCCCUUCUGAUUUUAGUUACAUUGGUUUUGUUUGUACAAAAACUUUUUAAUAUGAUGUAGUCAAAAUUAUUUUACAUUUUGUGACUCUUUCUAAGUCUUGCUUGCUUUUAAAAUCUUACCCUUUCCAAAGGUCUGACAUGUAUACUAUUCUGUGUUUACCUAAUUUACUUAUAGUUUCCUUCUUUAUGUUCAAGUCAUUGACCCAUUCUGAAUUUAUCUUGGUGUGGGGUGUGAGGUGUUGAUCCAAACCUAAUCUCUCCCACACUGUCUUCCAAUUUUCCCAGCAAUUUUUAUCAAAUAGUGGAUUUUGGUCCCAAAAGCUGGGAUCAUUGGGUUUGUCAUUUACUGUCUUGCUGAGGUCACUUGGCCCAAGUCUAUUCCACUGAUCCUCCUUUCUGUCUCUUAGCCAGUACCAAAUUGUUUUGAUAACCACUGCUUUAUAGUAUAGUUUGAGAUCUGGGACUGCAAGUCCUCCUUCCUUUGCAUUUCUUUUCAUGAUUUCCCUGGAUAUCCUUGAUCUUUUGUUCUUCCAAAUGAACUUAGUUAUGGUUUUUUCUCAGAUUUGCAUUUUAGAAAAUUAUUUGCUAAGUAAAUGGAGGAUGGAUUGAAGUAGGAAAAGACUUGAGGUAGAGAGCCAACCAGCAGGUUACAGCAGUAGUCUAAGAGUAAAAUGGCAGGGUCCUGCCUGAACCAGUGUCAGAGGAGAGAAAGGGGCAUUUGAGAAGUGUUAUAAAGAUAGAAAUGACCAUAUUUGACAAUGUAUUAGAGAACUUAAAUUAAACUGAACACAGAAAAAACCUUCAGCACCACAUGACAACUAAAGCAGCUGAUGAUCCUAGUUGUUAGGAGCUUGCAUUUGUGACAGAGGAGAAUGGAAGGAUUCCAGGUAAUGUUAGCAUCAGUGAAUGGCUUUAUAGCACUAACAAUCAGCUCCUCUUCUCCUUCCAGACCAUACAAUUCAGAGCUUGGGAAGUGGGAGCAGAGACUAUAAGAUUUCCACCAGUUAGAGGAAUCAACCUGAGAAGAAAAAUCCUUUUUCUUUAUUUUUUUUUUACUUUUUAUUUUCUUUAAAGACGAUUUUGACUCAGGCUCCCCAUUGAACCAAGAGGUCCAGGUUUCUAAAGAACAUACUACAAGGAAUGACAUAAAAUGUUACCAAAGCAUCACAGAGCCUCAGCCAUAGAGGAAACCUCAGAACUCAUCCAGUUCAACAGUACUUUGAGAACAAGAAUUGAUCAUACAACUUCCACUUGAAGAUGACUGAGGACAAGAAUUUAUUUUCUUGUGAAGCAACCCUUUAUCCUUCUGAAAUACAGCAUGUUAUAGUGGAUAGAAGGCUAGCCUCAAGAUCAGAAAGACCUGGGUUUAGUCCUCCUUACCACACAUACUGGUCAUCUCUCAGUAUUUUACACAUUUCCACAAGAAGUGGUUCAGUGUGUGUGGUCUAAGGACUCCUGUAGGUCCAGAGAUCCUUUCAGAGAGUGUGCAAGGAAUAGAUUCCAUAAGGCCAAAACUAUAUCUAUAAAAAUACUGAGGUGUUUUCAUUUCAAAUUGAUUUUAAUAUUGAUAGAUAUAACAAAUAUUAAUAAAAAGCUCUUUGUGGAAUCCUCAGUAUUUUUAAGAGUGUAAAGGAAAAAAAUUGAGAAGCAUUGCUCUAAGGCCAUAAGUAGAAGAGGUGUCCACCUCCAUUGGUUGAGAGCCCCUUAUCUGAGAGUCCCUUGUAUCCAUUAAAGGUCCUGAACCUACUCCAACCCUACUGAGAUGAAACCUCCAUCUCUAUAGUUUCCUCUCAUUGUUCCUAGUUCCAAAGAAAUGUCAUCCCUCUUUCACAUGGCAGUUAUUCAAAUAUUUGCAGAUGGCCAUCAUUAGGCAAUAUUGUAGAGUGGUAAUAAUCCCACAUUUGACAUCAGAAAACCUGAUUCUGGGUCCCAGCUUUACCACCUAUUAACUCUGUGAGCAUGAUCAAAUACUUUCCUUCAAGGGCUUCAAGAUUCCAUCUAGUGUUAAGUCCUGAUAUUAUAUUCUCCCUUUACUAAAGUCUUGGAUCCAAGGCCACUUCAUGGAAAGGAUGCAUCCCUGGGUUCUUUUUAGAAGGUUCCAACAACACUAGUGCAACAUCAGCUUGAGUUGGGACCCGCCAAGCUGGAAAGAACUGACAUUUAUAUGUGGGAAUCUCCAAGCUGACCACAGGAUAAUGGAUGUUUCUAUUUGUCAUAGCAUUUCUGGAAGGUCAUCUACUAAAUAACAGAAAGGUCACAUGGAUUAAAUCAUGGAUAUCUGCAGUAUUUUAGGUUUUCUAGUUUAAGUCUCUUGUAUUUUAGCUCUUAGGGUGGUCCACUUGAACCUUUUCCAUCAAACUGUGAAGUAGGGGGAAAGGGGGAUGGGGGUAUUUAACAGGGUCAUAGUUUUCUUGAGGAGAAUCAAAGCCUUAUUUAAGGACAUUGGAGAGACAAUAGAGGAUCUGCAAGGGCCAGCAAAGCACAAAACAAAGCAGCAGCAACAGUGAUAUCAAUGAACACCUAUCACUCUGAACCAUUGAGGCACCUUCUGGCCAAGGGCUCUCAGAAUGGGCCCUCUCCCUCUUCUUGUAUGGGAACUGAUAAGAAAGUGUACAUCAUGUGUGGGUCAUAUAUCAUUUUAUUUGUGGACAUUUUGAAUUCAGAUGUCCUCUGGUUGCCUAGAAAAUGUAAAUCUAUCAAUGUGAGCUCCAGUGUUGCCCUGCCCCCUCCAUUCCAGGGACUGCUUUGAAAAUGAGGUCACUUUUCUAGGGGCCCAACAUAAAUUAAUGUGCCCCAGGAGUUGUAUUUAGAAAACUUCUAGAAUAGUCCUAUGUUUAUUUCCCAAGCAGCAGGAUACAGAAGUUGGGAUCUGUAUCCAGUUCCUUAGACAUACAUCUAUGUAAGAUCACUGAUGAGGAACAUUUUCUAUAGUGCUUUUAAAGCUUGCAAAGUGCUUUGAAUAUGGAACACUUAGACUUUUACAAAAGCGAUUUACUUCAAAAGGUAUAAUGCCAAGGAUAUAAAUAUACUCUCCCCAACCGGUGGGAGGCACCUCAGCCACUGGGGAGGAAAGAGAAAUCAGCUAUACGGUAAGAUUAUUAACAAUAACGGGCAUUUUAUAUGGUGCUUUUAACGUGUGCAAAGGGCCUUGCAAAUGGAGCACUCGAGCUUUUGCCUCCCCCCCAAAAAAAAAAAAACACAACAACAACAACAAAAACUUUCCUUAAUAAGGUCUACUCCCAAGGAAAUUAAUUUACUCACCCCACUGCGUGGAAGGCAUAAUCUUUCCCACCACCUCAGAGGGGAGCCAAAAGAAUUCGCUGUAUAGUUAAACUCGGUUCCAGAGCAGUUAAAGAGGACAAUUUGAGUUCCAAGGCCACAACGUCCCUGGGGCUCCAUUCUCAGACACCUCUGCUUCUCAGAGGCUCGUUGCUGCCCCACCCGGCCUGCAAUACCUGCUCCAAGGCCACCUCUGCCCAAACUCCCACUUCUGACCCUUAGAAACUGGGGUUUGAAACAAACACCCCCAGGGUCAAUUCCUCGAAACCACACGGGUGGGGCGGGAAAGGAGGGAGGCACUGAGGCAAAAAAGGGUACAGCAUCACAAGUUUCAAGAGACUCGGGCUGGCAGCCAAUCAAAGACAGCCCCCUCAGCCACGUGAUAGGAAUAGAGCGUGCUCCACGUGGAAACGAAGAGGGCAUGCUCAAAAGCCAAAUUACACACACUUGUAGCAAAGUGGGGGAAGCUCCUGUAAACCGGGUCCUCCCCCAUUGAAAGGUUGUAUCUUUUAUUUUACCCUCCGUCAGUUUUGGUGUCCCUCACUGUUCUGCCUACCACCACCACCUUUCCUCCCCUGCUCCCCUCCUCCCCCACCCCAAAAGUCCUGUUGGCAAAGAUGUGCUGCCUUGUCUAGGUGCCAUUACCAAAAAAUCAUGUGGAUCUAGAGAGCUUUCCAGAGUGCUGCAGAGUUCAGGCCCAGCAUCCAGAUGGUGAAGAUUGAUGGUUGGAGCUGGAGACUCUUUAUUGCCUCAGUUCUUCUAGGACUGGAGCUAUACUCUGAAUUGGAGGCCAACAGAGGUGGAAGAAAGGGAAGUCUGGGGAGCUAGCUUUGAAUAGAGAAAAAUCUCUGGGAGUUUAGCGUCAGAAGGCAUUAUGGACCUACAAACUUCCUUCCUGGUACUUAUUUUUAAUUUUUUAAAAACAAAAACAAUUUUUAUCUGUAAGAUGGUUUUUGUCCUUAACUAAAAUAAUGUUUUUUUUAAUUGAGAAACUGUCUUAAAGUCAAAAUAAGGUAUAUAGGCACACUGAUAUGAAACUUGAGAGAUACAAUCAAAUAGUGAAGACUUUCUUCAUUGCCAAGCAUUGGAGUAUUAAGAAACAUUAAAUAUAUCUGACUGAAUUUUUCAGUAUUCCACUGGAUAUUUUUAAUU